GGCGAGAUAGUUUAAUUGACUAAAAACACGUCUCAUGACGGACGCAGGUUUGAAUCCUGCACUUGCCA
RNAcentral lists this transfer RNA (68 nucleotides) under Saccharimonas sp. (SeqCode). Its description in RNAcentral is "tRNA-OTHER". It matches the Rfam family "tRNA". From Rfam's summary of the family: Transfer RNA (tRNA) molecules are approximately 80 nucleotides in length. Their secondary structure includes four short double-helical elements and three loops (D, anti-codon, and T loops). The record is from RNAcentral. Lineage: Bacteria; Candidatus Saccharimonadota; Candidatus Saccharimonadia; Saccharimonadales (SeqCode); Saccharimonadaceae (SeqCode).